GCUUUUAGCAAAAGGGAUUGUGAU
Molecule: non-coding RNA, 24 nt
Filed under: Cricetulus griseus (Chinese hamster)
Lineage: Eukaryota; Metazoa; Chordata; Mammalia; Rodentia; Cricetidae
Source: RNAcentral